Molecule: long non-coding RNA, 451 nt
Filed under: Physcomitrium patens
Lineage: Eukaryota; Viridiplantae; Streptophyta; Bryopsida; Funariales; Funariaceae
Description: long non-coding RNA (PPAT_LNC005492)
Source: RNAcentral
UAAUUAGACCAUAAUAAUGCUAAGCAAGCUUUAAUCAAAUUUAAAGAAACCUCAAAGGAAUUACAAAUAAAUAAUAAGAAAUCUUAAAGAAAUAUUAGAACGAUCACAAAUAUAUCUCAAAUACAUCUCAAUUCAAUAUUAAUUUAAUCUUAGUUUAAAUCCUAUUGGACUUCAUUCAAACUUUAGGCCAAAAAUUAACUAAAUUUUAAAUCCUAAAUAAACCUUAAUAAAAUCCUAAAUCCUAAAUCAAAUCUUGACCAAACCCUAAAUUCUAAAUCAACUCCUAAUCAAAUCCUAAUCCUAAAUUAAAUCCUAACCAAACCUUAAAUCUUAAACCAAAUCCUAAUCCUAAAUCAAAUCCUAACCAAAUUUUAAUCCUAAAUCAAACCUUAAUCAAACCCUAACCUUAAAUCAAAUCCUAACCAAACCUUAAACUCUAAAUCAAAUCCUA